This 454-nucleotide long non-coding RNA is filed under the name Homo sapiens (human). Its description in RNAcentral is "HSALNT0272635". The record is from RNAcentral. Lineage: Eukaryota; Metazoa; Chordata; Mammalia; Primates; Hominidae.
CAGUAACACAUGCAACCGUGGUAAAUCCACCUUUGUUCUCAUCUGAUGGAAUUCAAGAUUAUUUUCUAACAAAGCAGCAAGUUCUGGAGAAAGGUUGGAGUAAAAUCUUUAUUGGGCAUUAAGGCAGGCAAGUUAAGGGUAAGUAACAAAAUGAGGUUCCCUGAAAAUAAAAUCAACCCUUUGAAAGUGCAGGGUCAUGAGUAUUCCAAACAAUAAUAUACAAAAAUAAAUUGAAAAUCACAGAUAUAUUUCCUCAAAAUCAUCAUUAGAAAUGUAUCACCCACACAUUUAAAAUAUCUGUAUUAAAGAUUUUCAUGGUUAGAUCUGCACUGGGUGCUUUAAAAGCAAAUUCUGUCUCUAGUUUGAAGCAGAUUGACUGGCUAUGCUUUCUUAGUUGUUGCAUGGAUUUGUUUGAGAUCAAACUUUUUCUCCAAACAGCUGAAUAUGAUUCAAA